RNAcentral lists this long non-coding RNA (4609 nucleotides) under Oreochromis niloticus (Nile tilapia). RNAcentral describes it as "lncRNA (ENSONIG00000029350.1)". Lineage: Eukaryota; Metazoa; Chordata; Actinopteri; Cichliformes; Cichlidae. The record is from RNAcentral.
AUGAACGCUGUUGUUGUCCUCGUCCUAUUGGCUGCUGUGGGGUCGGCCAUAAGCAGCUCAGAGGUGAAGGUGCAAAACGUUCCUUACUCUUGCUGCAAAGCACUGGAGUUUGACCAAAACUGUGAGAACACCUGGAGUGUUAAUGGCAAGACCUUUGCCUACUCCAAACAUGAGAAAAAAAACUGCGUACCUCCAUGCCAGAAAAUUGAAGGUGGAACAAUUGUCAUGGAAGAAUGCGUGGAUCUAAAUGUUACCACGGUUUGUCAUAUGCGCUCUGGUAUUGUUAAAGAGGAGUGCAUCCACUACCAGAGUCAGCCCUGCUCCCAGGAUUGCAAUGGGGCAUGUAGGCAUCAGAGCACCGUUGCAUUGGUGCCAUUGGUACUGACAGCCGGAUGGAUUGCAAAGCAGAUGAUCUCUUGAGUCGUCUGCUUUUGGCAGAAAGAAAAGAUGCUUUUAAUAGCAGGGGUGAAAGGUAUUUCUGCUAAGGGAACAACAAUGCUUUUGCUUCCUGUCAGCUUGAAUCAGUUUGCACUGCAUAACUGUCUCGUCAUGCAGUGCCAUACAGACAGUGUUUACCAUGAAGGCAAUUUUAUACUUUUCCAACUAUAAGCUCAAAAAUAUUAUAUUUACACUUCUUCUUACAGCACUGAAACACUUUAUAAUUCUUCAGGCACAUCAGUUUCCAUCCUUUACUGUUAAAUGACAAAAUGAACGUGAUUUAGAUAGCAUUGGAAUAUAUCGUACAACCUAAAAACCUCACUUUUUUUUUUUUUAUUUGAGUCAUGUUUCUCUCAGGGGUGUAUUUACCAAGAAAGACCCUUUUAAAAAUGUCAUGAAUUUCUUCCACAAGUCAAAAUAAUAGUCACCAGUCAAUUUUUGCCCCUUUUGGUAAGAUUUUUAAGUUUACUGUUAAAUGGUGACAAAAUAUUUAAAAAGUGUAACAUUUUCCUUAUUAAUGAGACAAUUUGCUACUACCAUUUAUUUUUUGACACUGAAUGUGGAUGGACAUGACCUGCUGCUAUUUCAAUGACAAAUUUAUUGAUGAAGAUAAACAUUCAGUUUAUUUGAAACACACUAAACUACAGUACAGAGGUGUACUUAGCUGCUACACUUGGUAAAUACAACUCCCAGAGUUCACUGAACAAAGCUGCUCACAGAAACCUUUCAGAAAUUGUGACUGGUGUAUUAUGAAGGGAAGACGGUUUCUGUUGUGUCAUAGGACUGGAAGAGGUUUAAAAAAUGUGUACAUGCCAAUUUGAUGUUUACAAACCAGUGAUGGUAAAUACCCAGGUACUAAUUUCAACAAACUGAAAAUAUAAACAGGUCCCACUUGUCACUUUACUGUUAUAAUCUCAGGAAACAAAAAUAUGGUGACGUGCUGACUAAUUUAUUAUUUAUUUAUUUAAAAAAAAAUAUUCUGCACUUGAAAGGAGGUCAGAGAUUGUCGAAGCAGAAAAGAGCAUCUUGUGUUUGUUUGGUUUACUUGAAUUGCACCAGCGACCUCAAAACUGUAUUAUACUACUGUAGGACCAGACCAAGCACAGAACACAGCUUGUUUUAGUGUUUCAUACAUUUACAAGCAUCUCUAAACAAACUGCUCAAAACUAACUAAACUAAUCUAAACUGGUCAAAACAAUUACCACUGACACUAUCCAAAGUAACAAAGCAAAUAUUCAGGUAAUAUCUGUUUUGAAGCCACAUACUGACAUUAACUGAGCUGCUAAUAAAUAAGCUACUUUCUUUGAAUCAUUUUAUUUUUGAAUAAAUAUGCUCCAUAUAAACAUUUCAAGUUAUGACAAAAUAAGCUAUUUAAACUAUGUGAUUGGUGCCUUGGGAAACUGAGAUCAGGCAUUUUUAAAAACUUUUAUUUUUAAUUUCAUAAUUGGAAAUUGACAUUUCUUCUUAACAAAAAUAUAUCUGCUGCUUUUAUUAAUUUUAAGUGACUAAAAAUAAGGUAUUUACAACUUUUUUGACAGGCUAAAGUAAACUCUUUUUAGCUGAGAUUUAAUAAAGAAUCAGUCAAUAUUCAAGACAAUACUGAUAGAUUAUUGAAUUUUAUUUAUGAUGUGAUCCACUCUUAUGAUGCAAAAUGCCACAUUUAUGUGUGGCUUUUUAAAAGAUGACAUAAAUACAGUUAUAUGGCACAUAGUUAAAUAGCUGAAGGACAACACCAGCAGUGGAAGGAGUAACAUUCCCUGAUUAGACAGUUCUCAUGUACAGCUCUUCCUCCAGAACUCUUAAUGCAAUAGCAGCUAUGAAUGUUUACAAUAUGUAUUUAAAUAGUAACUGUAAAGGUUUUACAUUUUAGAUUUAAAUGACAGCUACACCUAGUAAAGCAGAACCAAAGCCAUUCUCUGUAUAGAUGGAGUGGAAAUGACAUAAACUGCCAGUAUUUCUUUACCAAUGUUUUCCAUUCCAUUUCUCUCCUCCCUACAAUAACUGUUUAGCCCAAAUGUGGCCCAUAUCUGCAGUUUUCUCUACAGGCACUCUGGCCUUGACUAAUGGUACUGUAGUGGUACUGGUGGAGUAAGUUUAACCAGGCUAUAUCUGACCCAACACUAGCUGUGACCAAUGUUAGGCCCACUCUGUGGCUUUUAUCCAUGUUUGGCAGAUGCACCAUUUGCCAGUUGCCAUUUAAUAGCCAGAUUAAACCCAGAUGUGUCUUCUUUCUGGAAUACAUUAUUUUCUUUUUUGUUUUUUUUUAAUUAACCUCUCAUAUGUUUUACAAAUAUUCGACACUUCCCCUCCAACUAGGGAAACUAUUUUACAGUUUAUUACCAACUUAAAGUGUAAAGUAUUAAAAAAUAAAAUAUUAAAAGUGUUUUCAUUUGGACCAGAUGAAUAUGUAAUAAAUUAUGUCCUACACAUCUGCUACAUUAUAUAUAAGGCAUUAACUUUAAACUCUUUUUGCCCAUUAAAAAAUGCAUUAAAAAAAUGUGAAAAAACAUACAAACUUUAGAUUUUCUCUAAUUUUUUAUCAUCAAGACAGUCCAUGUACUUUCAAUACGUGUUUUAAUUGUGAUUUUUUUUAAAAUCAGUUUUAUAAUUAUAUCAUUAGCCUUUGAAUAAUCAAAUAAAAUCAAUACAUUUGUUCUAAUUAACAAACAAUGAUGCUCUUUUUUGCUUCCUGAUUAUCUCUUUUGAAAAUGAUUAUUUCAUUAAAAUUGGGCAUUAAGUUAAUAAUAGAAACAUUCCAAUAAAAGCACUAAAAAGCUGGCCCACUGAAAUACAAAAAGGACAUAUCAGACUUGAUAGCUGAGUAUUUAAAAACUAUGCAACCAAUUAAGUGGUGCUUUGUUUGUUGUGUGUGUUUGUGUGUGUGUGAGAGAGAGAUGUGGGGUGGGGGACUUUUAGUAUUAUUUUUUUAUUAGAGACUGAAAAAAAUGUGAAACCAUCAAAAACAAAAAAACAAAAACUGAGCCAAACAGAAUUAAUUAAAAAAAAAAACUGCUGUGUUUGAAAAUCCUACUGCCAAAUAGGGGUUUAUUUGUUUGUUUGAUUUGUUUUUUUUAACCACGCUGUUGUGAUAUGUUCUAUCGAAGCACCAAACAUUAGAAUGUAAAAUUCCAUAUUUUUACGGUCAUGUGUCAUUUCAUGCAGUACGGUAUAGGGUACUUAUGUGCUUUUCUUCUUGCGUUGCUGCUAUCGUAUGUUAAUCAAUGCUGUCCGUGCUGCUUGUAAAAUAUUAUUGCACAGCUAUGAAAUAAAAAAAAAAACACAAUUAUUGUGUGUGCUGAGUGUUUUCUUAAUGAAGAGGUAACAGAUGUAGUUUUAUACAAAAAGUCCAUGUCACUGAUAAUCAUAGUUUUUAAGUUGGUUUUUUUUUUGCACAAUUUGUUGUGCACAAAAUUGUUCUGUACUACUCAUUAUGUCAUUUUUUGUUGAAAUGUUAGUUUGAAACUAUAACAUUGUUUAGGUCACAUAGUAAAUGUGUAUUUUUAAGCGCACACAUUACCAUAAGUGUACUUUUUAUAUAUUUGAAAGAAAUCCAGUGAAAAAAACCUGUUAAUAAGAGUGUAAUAUGCUAUUUUUCUUUAUUAUUUUUAUUUGAAUCACUGAAAAAAGAUGUUCAUGAUGUCAGGGAAGAUCCAGGAAAUUGAAAACAGGCCAUUUCUGGGGUCAUUGCAAAAACUUUGCAAAAAGUAAAAUAAAAUAAAAUAAAAAUGCACCCAGUCAGAAAAACUGAAGACUCAGACUGACUAAAGAACACAUCCGUUUAUUUGUUUCAGAGCACAGUACAUGUACUUUAGAGUCUUUACAAAAUAUUUACAUAGAUUUAUCUAUUUAUUCUUUGGGUACCAGAGAAAUUAAAAAACUAAAAUGAAGAAAUAAGGAAUCAGCUUGGAAUAAUUUAUCGUUUUCUAAAGUCACAACAUACACAGCAGUAAAAACUGCUGCAGAGUUUGAACACGUAUGAAGUAUAAUCCCUGUGUGGUAUCAGAUGUUGACUAGAGGCAUGAGAUUUCUGCACAAUCCUGAAGUGCAUCAUGAUACUACACUUUAUCCACUGACAUUUAUAUCACAGCUUUUGACAGACUAUUGUCACAAUAUUGUAUGUAAAGUAUUUCAUUGUUAAAACCAAGUUAUUCCUAUAAGCACCAUAAUAUCU